GAUGAACGCUGGCGGCGUGCCUAAUACAUGCAAGUCGAGCGAACGGACGAGAAGCUUGCUUCUCUGAUGUUAGCGGCGGACGGGUGAGUAACACGUGGAUAACCUACCUAUAAGACUGGGAUAACUUCGGGAAACCGUAGCUAAUACCGGAUAAUAUUUUGAACCGCAUGGUUCAAAAGUGAAAGGCGGUCUUGCUGUCACUUAUAGAUGGAUCCGCGCUGCAUUAGCUAGUUGGUAAGGUAACGGCUUACCAAGGCAACGAUGCAUAGCCGACCUGAGAGGGUGAUCGGCCACACUGGGACUGAGACACGGUCCAGACUCCUACGGGAGGCAGCAGUAGGGAAUCUUCCGCAAUGGGCGAAAGCCUGACGGAGCAACGCCGCGUGAGUGAUGAAGGUCUUCGGAUCGUAAAACUCUGUUAUUAGGGAAGAACAUAUGUGUAAGUAACUGUGCACAUCUUGACGGUACCUAAUCAGAAAGCCACGGCUAACUACGUG
Molecule: ribosomal RNA, 497 nt
Filed under: uncultured bacterium
Lineage: Bacteria
Description: partial 16S ribosomal RNA
Rfam family: Bacterial small subunit ribosomal RNA
Source: RNAcentral